AUUGAACGCUGGCGGCAGGCCUAACACAUGCAAGUCGAACGAGUUGCGGACGGGUGAGUAAUGUCUGGGAAACUGCCUGAUGGAUGGGGAUAACUACUGGAAACGGUAGCUAAUACCGCAUACCAUCGGAUGUUCCCAGAUGGGAUUAGCUAGUAGGUGGGGUAACGGCUCACCUAGGCGACGAUCCCUAGCUGGUCUGCGUGGAUAACCAGGCACACUGGAAUUGAGACAGGGUCCAGACUCAUAGGGGAGGAAGCAGUGGGGAAUAAUGCACAAUGGGCGCAAGCCUGAUGCAGCCAUGCCGCGUGUAUGAAGAAGGCCUUCGGGUUGUAAAGUACUUUCAGCGGGGAGGCGUUACCCGCAGAAGAAGCACAGGCUAACUCCGUGCCAGCAGCCGCGGUAAUUC
RNAcentral lists this ribosomal RNA (406 nucleotides) under uncultured bacterium. RNAcentral describes it as "partial 16S ribosomal RNA". It matches the Rfam family "Bacterial small subunit ribosomal RNA", at positions 30 to 526 of the family's 1533-position model. The record is from RNAcentral.